ACCACGUCUGAAGAUAGUGAGAUUGUGAGUUAUCUGAACUGAUUGCUCACAGUGAGUUACAUAUUGAACUCCUCGUUCUAUUCUUUACCCCCUUCUCACUACUGCACUUGACUGGUAAAA
Molecule: unclassified non-coding RNA, 120 nt
Organism: Propithecus coquereli (Coquerel's sifaka)
Lineage: Eukaryota; Metazoa; Chordata; Mammalia; Primates; Indriidae
Rfam family: Y RNA
About the family: Y RNAs are components of the Ro ribonucleoprotein particle (Ro RNP), in association with Ro60 and La proteins. The Y RNAs and Ro60 and La proteins are well conserved, but the function of the Ro RNP is not known.
Source: Ensembl